CAGAAAGAAGGACUUUGCUGCUUUGGGCCAGGCUCUGAACUUAGGUGUAAACCAUUGCCCUGACAGAGGGAACCUACCCAGUCCAUUGCUGCCUGCAACAAGAUAUGAACAGUAAUGGCACAUAUUUUGGUUAUGAGUCACUCAGUGGACUGUGGAUUGAAUGAACUGUAUCCAUCCCCAUCAUGAUGUACAGAACCAAGUCUCUUCACUACACUUGUGUUCUGAUUAGUGGCCAAAUAAAUGACAGUCAGAACUU
Molecule: long non-coding RNA, 256 nt
Filed under: Pan troglodytes (chimpanzee)
Lineage: Eukaryota; Metazoa; Chordata; Mammalia; Primates; Hominidae
Description: long non-coding RNA NONPTRT000738
Source: RNAcentral